Molecule: ribosomal RNA, 618 nt
Filed under: Pseudomonas fluorescens
Lineage: Bacteria; Pseudomonadati; Pseudomonadota; Gammaproteobacteria; Pseudomonadales; Pseudomonadaceae
Description: bacterial SSU rRNA
Rfam family: Bacterial small subunit ribosomal RNA
Source: RNAcentral
GAUGGGGAGAAAGUGGGGGAUCUUCGGACCUCACGCUAUUAGAUGAGCCUAGGUCGGAUUAGCUAGUUGGUGAGGUAAUGGCUCACCAAGGCGACGUGUAACUGGUCUGAGAGGUUCGAUCACACUGGAACUGAGACACGGUCCAGACUCGAUGGGGAGGCAGCAGUGGGGAAUAUUGGACAAUGGGCGAAAGCCUGAUCCAGCCAUGCCGCGUGUGUGAAGAAGGUCUUCGGAUUGAAAGCACUUUAAGGGAGGAAGGGCAGUUACCUAAUACGUGAUUGUUUUGACGUUACCGACAGAAUAAGCCGGCUAACUCUGUGCCAGCAGCCGCGGUACAGAGGGUGCAAGCGUUAAUCGGAAUUACUGGGCGUAAAGCGCGCGUAGGUGGUUUGUUAAGUGGAUGUGAAAGCCCCGGGCUCAACCUGGGAACUGCAUCCAAAACUGGCAAGCUAGAGUAUGGUAGAGGGUGGUGGAAUUUCCUGUGUAGCGGUGAAUUCGGUAGAUAUGGAACACCAGUGGCGAAGGCGACCACCUGGACUGAUACUGCACUGAGGUGCGAAAGCGGGGAGCAAACAGGAUUAGAUACCCUGGUAGUCCACGUAAACGAUGUCAACUAAA